UCAUCCAAAACUCAGAGAAAAAAAAAACCCAAAUUUUGGUACCCACCUAGCUGGUUAAUGGGUUCUCUCCAAAACUAAUGAGAACCAUCGCCAAAAAAAAAAAAACUAAUGAGAACCACAAUUUCAGAUCUCCCAACCAUGCCCAUCUGCGUUUCCUGCAAACCCUCGAUCUCAGAAUCCAUGGCAUGAGCCCCGAAUCCCCAAGUCUCUUCCGACGAAGCCCUGUCCAAUUCUGAUAAGGAGGAGCCGAUCAACGAGAAAGAGGACGAGGAGGAGCUCGAGGCUGUCGCUCGCUCCGCUAACUCCGACAACGAAGAGGACAAGUCUCAGGUUUGGCAGCCGUGCAAGAGAGAAAGGGGUGUGGAUAUAGAAAUUUGCCGGAGAUGGCGACGAGGAGCAGUGGAGCACCUCGAGUCGGAUUCCUGUCCCAUGGUACGAUCUGGGUUGGACUCUAGGGGAGUCCAAUUUUUACAAGGUCAAGUUUGCUCGGAACAUCAAGAUUGUUGAGAAUUUCGCUAUUAAGAUUCUGGGUAAAGAGAAUUCCUCAAGCACUAGAUGAUCGGCGCAUCGGCCAGCUAUCUCUCAUGUUCAAUCCAGCUUUGUUUUUGUGACGAAAGCGAAAGGGGCUUUGUAGAAAUCGGGGAAAUGGGUAGCGGAAUCUGGGUCUGGUUGGGCGGUUGAGGAUCGUGGUGAAGCUUCACCAUUGUUCUUCUUCUCCAUCCUCUUUUUCUCCUCCACCGAAACCAUGACAUUCCCAUUUCUCACUAAAAUCCUCUGCGCUCAAAUCUCUCUCUCUCUCUGUGGAUGGAAUCUUGGGCCUGUUGGACCGGCUCCUCUUCCUCAGCCGCGGCCAAACCAUUUUCAGCGGCUCGCCAGCUCAGCUUCCCUCGUACUUCGCCGACUUCGGCUGGCCCGUACUCGACUUCGAAAACAAAACCGAGUUCGCUCUGGACCUGAUCUGAGAAUUGGAAGGCUCCCCCGGCGGGACCCAAUCCCUCGUCGAGUUCAACACGUCCUGGCACAACGCUCACUACCGCUCCGCCACCGACAUACGACACAUGGUUCCUCUCCAAGAAGCCAUCUCCGCCGGCAUUUCUCGAGGCAAGCUCGUCUCCGGCGCCACCAACAACGACGCCAGCCCCAACUCCAUGGUCCCUACCUUCGCCAACCCCAUCUGGAUCGAAAUCGCCGUCCUCGCGAAACGCUCCAUGAAAAACUCGAGACGAAUGUCAGAGCUAUUCGGAAUCCGGCUCGGCGCCGUUGUGGUCACUGGGUUCAUCCUCGCCACCAUGUUCUGGAACAAGGCGUCCAAAAUUCUGUUUGCCCCAAAAGUGUACCCAUAUGAGAAUCUUCGAGUGGAGCUCAGCAGAGAACCAUAGAGGGUAUUGGGUUUCUUCUAAUUGUGUGCUAAUUCUUGUUUCAGAUGUAUUUUUCUGCAUUUCCCUUGUUUGAUAUGGCUCUAAAUAAUGUUCUGUACCCCAAAACUAUGAGCAUUGUAUGUUUUGGAUGAUACCAUCUUGGUUGUUUGAUAAUAUGCUUGGGUGAAAAAAGCUGGAGUCUUUAAAGGUGAUAUUAGUGGUUUUCUGAUGAGAUUUGGAGACAAAGAUGAAAUCUUUGAGUAGUGUAGGACUUGGUUUGAGUGUGGUUUUUGGUUGCGUAUUCUUGGCUCUAAUUGCUGAGCUUUACUACUUGUUGUGGUGGAAGAAGAGGCUGACCAACAGAGAGAUAGAAGAUGACUACAGCAGCCCAUCAAAGGAGGUGUUCUACAUGUUCUGCUGGAGAAGGACUUCCAAGAGAGGUGUUGGUGAUGGUUUCGGUGGAGGAGAAGAAGAGGAAGAGGAAGCAGACGAUUUUCAGAGAAGAUGAACAGUAAAAUGACGAAAAUAUCCUUCAAAAGUUAACUCUGUUAACGAUUUUACUGUUGCUAGGUACGGAAAUUGGGUCGGGGCCAAAACUUCAGGUACCAUUAUGAGGUUUUUUAAAGUAUAGGUAUGAAAAUUAAUAGUCUGGAAAAGUUCAGACACUGUUUGGACGAUUUUCCCUAAAAGAAAAGGGUACGUUGGGUUGCUUAAUUGCUUGCUUUUUAAUUUGGGCGUGCAGCAUGUGUCAGUGGAGGAUAAAGUGUUAGGUAUAAAGCGUGUUAGGUAUAAAACGUGUUUUGGUAGAACUAAUUAGAAAUCUGAUUAAAAAUCAAAGUUGGUGUAAUAUCUUUGCCUUUUGACGGUCAUAUAUAAUGCAUGAAUAUUCUUACUUGAGAAAUAAUCUUAUGUUUUUUAAUGCAAAGACUCAAAGUGGAGCCACGUUGAUAUAAUUAACUAUAUAUUAUCGAAGCUGUUAAGCUGCUCUUUUUUUUUAUUUUUUAUUUUUUUAUGACAAAGCUGUUAAGCUGCUUGAUUAUGGUGCAUUUUGCCAUUUUGUUAUGCUUUACUAUCAGUCCACUCCACUCCCAAGAUUUAGUAACCAACUUAUUAAUAAC
Long non-coding RNA from Rosa rugosa (rugosa rose), 2476 nucleotides. RefSeq lists it as uncharacterized. The record is from RefSeq and is a predicted model, not a curated record. Lineage: Eukaryota; Viridiplantae; Streptophyta; Magnoliopsida; Rosales; Rosaceae. The transcript is spliced from 3 exons.